CCUACGGGUGGCAGCAGUGAGGAAUAUUGGUCAAUGGACGCGAGCCUGAACCAGCCAAGUAGCGUGAAGGAUGACUGCCCUAUGGGUUGUAAACUUCUUUUAUAUGGGAAUAAAAUGUUGCACGUGUGGCAUUUUGUAUGUACUUUAUGAAUAAGGAUCGGCUAACUCCGUGCCAGCAGCCGCGGUAAUACGGAGGAUCCGAGCGUUAUCCGGAUUUAUUGGGUUUAAAGGGAGCGUAGGUGGGUUGUUAAGUCAGUUGUGAAAGUUUGCGGCGCAACCGUAAAAUUGCAAUUGAUACUGGCAGUCGUGAGUACAGUUGAGGUAGGCGGAAUUCGUGGUGUAGCGGUGAAAUGCUUAGAUAUCACGAAGAACUCCGAUUGCGAAGGCAGCUUACUAAACUGCCACUGACACUGAGGCUCGAAAGUGUGGGUAUCAAACAGGAUUAGAUACCCCGGUAGUC
This 460-nucleotide ribosomal RNA is filed under the name uncultured bacterium. RNAcentral describes it as "partial 16S ribosomal RNA". It matches the Rfam family "Bacterial small subunit ribosomal RNA", at positions 338 to 795 of the family's 1533-position model. The record is from RNAcentral.